GUGGUAUCCGUUGAGGAAAGGAGAGGAGCUUAUGCGAUGCAGGUGAACCAGGGAGCAACAUUACUCGCUCUGGCGCUGUGUGCAGUCUUCUCACUAGUGCUGGGCAUGGAAAGCAAACGGAAGCUCCAGAUUGGGGUCAAGAAGCGGGUGGACAACUGCCCCAUCAAGUCCCGCAAGGUCUGCCAAAAAAGCUGAAAAACAUCUUCAU
This 208-nucleotide long non-coding RNA is filed under the name Podarcis lilfordi (Lilford's wall lizard). The record is from RNAcentral. Lineage: Eukaryota; Metazoa; Chordata; Lepidosauria; Squamata; Lacertidae.